This 1679-nucleotide unclassified non-coding RNA is filed under the name uncultured fungus. RNAcentral's name for it is "sequence contains 18S rRNA gene, ITS1, 5.8S rRNA gene, ITS2, 28S rRNA gene". The stretch from base 636 to 1679 matches the Rfam family "Eukaryotic large subunit ribosomal RNA", at positions 1 to 961 of the family's 3401-position model. Lineage: Eukaryota; Fungi. The record is from RNAcentral.
GGUUGGAUCAUUAAAAUAGACAACGUCCGAAUCAUGAGUGCAUAUGACGUUGUAAAACUAAACUAUCUCAUACCACCUUUGUGAACUGUAUUUGUCUCUGGCGGGAGGGGUAAAAUUUCGCGUUUUAUCUGUCAGUUUGGUCUCCUUAUUUAAGGGGAUCAAGCCGUGGACAACCCGCCAAACACUUGUAUUAACCUUGAUUUUUGUUUAUGUCUAACAUUUUUUUGUAUAAAUAUACAAACAACUUUUGGCAACGGAUCUCUUGGCUCUCGCAACGAUGAAGAACGCAGCGAAAUGCGAUAAGUAGUGUGAAUUGCAGAAUUCAGUGAAUCAUCGAAUCUUUGAACGCACCUUGCGCUUCCUGGUAUUCCGGGGAGCAUGCCCGUUUCAGAAUCAUUAAAAUCUCACAAGUCAAUUUGCUUUCGGGCAUAUUGGCAGGUGGAUGUGGAUGUUUUGCACUCUGUGUGCAAACAUUUCAAAGUGAUUGUAUGUGCGCCUUGUUUAUUAACAUUGGUUAUCAAAAGUGCAACAGAUUUAUCUAUUUCAUUUUAAUAAUCAGUGUUAUAGCAUGGUGUUUUCGUACUCAAACCUAUUAAGUAAGGUUGAUUGUAUACAAUCAGCUUUCACUGAUAACUUGGUCUGAAAUCGGGCAAGAAAACCCGCUGAACUUAAGCAUAUCAAUAAGCGGAGGAAAAGAAACUAACAAGGAUUCCCCUAGUAACGGCGAGUGAAGCGGGAAUAGCUCAAAUUUGAAAUCUCAUAGGGUUACCUGUGCGAAUUGUAGUUUAGAGAAAUGUUUUCGGGGCGACUUGGUUAUAAGUCCUUUGGAAAGAGGCAUCGUAGAGGGUGACAAUCCCGUUUAUGAUCCAAUGUUCGCUCCUAUGUGAUACAUUUUCUAAGAGUCAGAUAGUUUGGGAUUGCUGUCUAAAAUGGGUGGUAAAUACCAUCUAAAGCUAAAUAUUGGCGAGAGACCGAUAGCGAACAAGUACCGUGAGGGAAAGAUGAAAAGAACUUUGAAAAGAGAGUUAAACAGUACGUGAAAUUGCCAAAAGGGAAACGCUUGGAACCAGUAUUGCUUGCAGGUAAUCAGCCAUAUGUCCUGAAAGGGAUACAUGCGGUGCACUUGCUUGCAGGCAGGUCAACAUCAGUUUGGUUUGGGGUAAAAAGCCGGAGGAAGGUGACUCGAGCUUUUGUUUGAGUGUUAUAGCCUCCGGUCAUGCCUUGGACUGGACUGAGGUCUGCAGUGUUAUUUGGAUUCCCGAUCGCCUUCUGAACCACAUUUUUAGACAGCUUGCUGACUAGGAGUGUGUCUAGGGAGCCCGGUCGGUUCAUCACACCAACACUUAGGAUGUUGACGAAAUGGUUCCAAACGACCCGUCUUGAAACACGGACCAAGGAGUCUAACAUAUAUGCGAGUAUUUGGGUGGUAAACCCUUAUGCGAAAUGAAAGUGAACUUAGGUGGGAUCUUCGGUGCACCAUCGACCGGUCUGGAUUUUUUUGAUAGAUCUGAGUAAGAGCAUAUCUGUUGGGACCCGAAAGAUGGUGAACUAUGCCUGAAUAGGGUGAAGCCAGAGGAAACUCUGGUGGAGGCUCGUAGCGAUUCUGACGUGCAAAUCGAUCGUCAAAUUUGGGUAUAGGGGCGAAAGACUAAUCGAACCAUCUAGUAGCUGGUUCCCUC